This 253-nucleotide ribosomal RNA is filed under the name uncultured bacterium. RNAcentral describes it as "partial 16S ribosomal RNA". It matches the Rfam family "Bacterial small subunit ribosomal RNA", at positions 524 to 776 of the family's 1533-position model. The record is from RNAcentral.
UACGUAGGGUGCAAGCAUUAAUCGGAUUUAUUGGGCGUAAAGGGCGCGUAGGCGGAAUUGGAAGUCAGAUGUGAAAGCCCGGGGCUCAACCUCGGAACGGCAUUUGAUACUCUAAUUCUAGAGGAUAGGCGGAGAAAAUGGAAUUCCACAAGUAGCGGUGAAAUGCGUAGAUAUGUGGAAGAACACCAGUGGCGAAGGCGGUUUUCUAGCUUAUACCUGACGCUGAGGCGCGAAAGCAAGGGGAGCAAACAGG